GCCCAACCGAAGUAAAAAAAUAGACAUUUUUCCACAAAACCCUAAUAUUCUUUACCAUACUCAUUGCACGAGCAACUCAUCUCCAUCCCCAUCUGCGGCGACUUCAUCUCCGUCCCCAUCUGCGGCCACUUCAUCUCCGUCCAUAAUUUUCUAUUUCUGAUUUUUUUUCCUGUUAUCUCUCUCUCGGUUUCAUCAUUAUUCACUCAAAUCAGAAGAAAAAAGCAAGCACAAAAUCCUUAACCCAACAGGAACCCUAACCCCCAUUUCAUCAUUACAGUUACAGGAAUCGGAAAACAAAAAUCAAAUGCAACAAAAUCAAGAUAAAGAUUGAAGAACACAGGUUUGGAGUUUGGCUUAGAACCUACACUUCCAUAUUUGAGUCCGCUACCAGUUGGAGAGAAGUUUCUAAUUGGUGCAAAUUUUGCAUUAUACUGGAUUUCAGUUUUUGCAUAUAAUUAGAAUCUACAAAUAGCUUAAGCUAUUUCAAGUGUAUUACAAAAGAGUAAGUGCUUCAGAAGGAGCAAGAAACUUAGUCAACAUGGCACUUGUACUAAUCACUCUCGGCGGGAACUAAGUUCAUAAUAAUAGACAAAAAUAUUGAGAGCAAGAUUGAAAUGACUUACCUACGGCGAGGAGGUUAUCACCGGUUUAUUAUUGAGCAAAUGUAAUUUUGGUGUUGUCUUCAAAAGCUUCAACUCAUCUUCCCGUGGAUUCAUUUGGUAUUUCAAGUGCGCUAAAGGACUUAAAUGGUUGGAUAUUUGUUGUUUUGUUAUUUUGUAGUAGUCCACCGUGUGUAAACUUUCUUAUAAUUUUGUACACUUGUGUAUCCUAGAUUAAUACUUUUGUAAAUUUUGAAAUAUAUAUAUAUAUAUAUAUAUAUAUAUAUAUAUAUAUAUAUAUAUAUAUAUAUAUAUAUAACUAUUUGGUGCAAUGAAAUUAUAUUCUUC
Vicia villosa (hairy vetch) is the source of this 947-nucleotide long non-coding RNA. RefSeq lists it as uncharacterized. The transcript is spliced from 5 exons. Lineage: Eukaryota; Viridiplantae; Streptophyta; Magnoliopsida; Fabales; Fabaceae. The record is from RefSeq and is a predicted model, not a curated record.